GCCGCGGUAAUACAUAGGUCACAAGCGUUAUCCGAAAUUAUUGGGCGUAAAGCGUCUGUAGGUUGUAUUGUUAAGUCUAGAAGUUAAAUCCCGAUGCUCAACAUCGGCCCGCUUUAGAUACUGGCAAACUAGAGUUAUAGAGAGGUUAGUGGAAUUUCAUGUGAAGCGGUGGAAUGCGUAGAUAUAUGAAGGAACACCAAUGGCGAAGGCAGCUAACUGGCUAUAUACUGACACUGAGGGACGAAAGCGUGGGGAGCAAACAGGAUUAGAUACCCUGGUAGUCCACGCUGUAAACGAUGAUCAUUAGUUGGCGGGAGAAAUUCUCGCUGGCGCAGCUAACGCAUUUAAAUGAUCCGCCUGAGUAGUAUGCUCGCAAGAGUGAAACUUAAAGGAAUUGACGGGGACCCGCACAAGCGGUGGAGCAUGUGGUUUAAUUUGACGAUACGCGUAGAACCUUACCCACUCUUGACAUCCUCAGCAAAGCUAUAGAGAUAUAG
This 497-nucleotide ribosomal RNA is filed under the name uncultured Mycoplasma sp. RNAcentral describes it as "bacterial SSU rRNA". It matches the Rfam family "Bacterial small subunit ribosomal RNA", at positions 514 to 1011 of the family's 1533-position model. The record is from RNAcentral. Lineage: Bacteria; Bacillati; Mycoplasmatota; Mollicutes; Mycoplasmatales; Mycoplasmataceae.